CCUACGGGUGGCAGCAGUGAGGAAUAUUGGUCAAUGGACGAGAGUCUGAACCAGCCAAGUAGCGUGAAGGAUGACUGCCCUAUGGGUUGUAAACUUCUUUUAUAAAGGAAUAAAACGAGGCACGUGUGCCUUUUUGCAUGUACUUUAUGAAUAAGGAUCGGCUAACUCCGUGCCAGCAGCCGCGGUAAUACGGAGGAUCCGAGCGUUAUCCGGAUUUAUUGGGUUUAAAGGGAGCGUAGAUGGGUUGUUAAGUCAGUUGUGAAAGUUUGCGGCUCAACCGUAAAAUUGCAAUUGAUACUGGCAGUCUUGAGUACAGUUGAGGUAAGCGGAAUUCGUGGUGUAGCGGUGAAAUGCUUAGAUAUCACGAAGAACCCCGAUUGCGAAGGCAGCUUACUAAAUUGUGACUGACAUUGAUGCACGAAAGCGUGGGUAGCAAACAGGAUUAGAUACCCCGGUAGUC
This 460-nucleotide ribosomal RNA is filed under the name uncultured bacterium. Its description in RNAcentral is "partial 16S ribosomal RNA". It matches the Rfam family "Bacterial small subunit ribosomal RNA", at positions 338 to 795 of the family's 1533-position model. The record is from RNAcentral.